CCUAUAUAAAUGCUUUGUAGAUAGUCUAGGUAGAUGUACCUGCUUGUGCCAAGGACUGGACAUCCUGCAACUGAACUCAACGUUUUUGUUACAAAAAUGUUGACCAACUUGCUGCGGCUGGCCUGUUUACUUCUCUUGCUCAUUAGUCUCGUCACGUCGCAAUUUUUGCUACCGCCGCCAGGAGCAGCAGAACCUCUUCCUCAACCGCCUUCCCCCUCGUUUCUCUCCCUGCUGUUUCUAAGACAUUUGUUUGAUACGUAACUGGGAGACAUCGAAACAAAGUGGACACAUCGAAACAAAGUGGACACAACGAAACAAAGUGGACACAAGGAAACUGGGAAAUCAAAAAGUAGCAAAACAUCUCCAGCAGUCGUGUGAUAUUUAUACAUGUGUGUAAAGGCUGUUUUCUCAUUUAUAGUGUCAUUGUAAUGUUUAGCUGUCCAUUAGUAUAUAAAAAAUAUUUGUUUUAGUGAAUACAUGGCUUGGACUUUAUUGAAGCACAUUUCAUCUCUAAACUUGAUUGUUUUGUGCUGUAACAAAAGGUUGUAAAUAUGACAAAAGCUAUUUAAGACAAUUAAUGCAAAACACAAUGAACCUUGCGCAAACUGAUGUAGAACAUUCUAGAGUGAAAGUUUGUAUCCAAGAAGUUUUCACAAUGUCAAAGGAAUUUUAAAAAUUUAAAAAAUAGUUUUAUAUAAAAUGUAGGUAAUUAAGAAAAAAUUGAUCUACCUAAAGUCAUUACGGCUGACAUGUAUUAUAGAACAAACCUUAAUGUUUAUAUCUCUAUAAGAAUGAAGCAUUAAAAUGUUGCUAUGGAUACUUUUGUACUAACAUUAAACAUUCAUACAUGUUCAAUGUCAAGUAAACGCUUAUAGAUAAUAGUAAGGCGCCAUCUAGUGGUAACUAACUACAUAGCAAUUAAGAUUAAGAUUUUCGCAAUAAGGGGAUCUUCAUAAAUAGAGGCGAAUCUAUAUAUAGCAAUCUUUAUGGUGUAUUAAGUGUACAGGAUACACAGGCAUGAAUAAUUAUAAAAAUCCCCUAUUCAAUAAUAGCAUAAUGUUCAUUAGAAUUUUCAUUUUUUUUUAAAGAAAUCACUAUUUUGUUUGUAUAGUAAAGGAUAUUGUAAAUAGUGUAUGUAUUUCAUAGUUGGCAGUUAGUUCUAUAGUUCCGUGUAGUUUCGUCUAGUUCUGUUCUAGUUGUAGUAUUAGUUCUCAUGAUUUCAAAUGAAAUACUAUGUUCGUGAAAUGGUUGAAUGAAUAAAUAUUUGAAUACAUCUUU
Long non-coding RNA from Biomphalaria glabrata, 1278 nucleotides. RefSeq lists it as uncharacterized. The transcript has 3 exons. NCBI's taxonomy places the organism in Eukaryota, Metazoa, Mollusca, Gastropoda, Planorbidae. The record is from RefSeq and is a predicted model, not a curated record.